CUGUAGCCAAGCGGUAAGGCAUCUGGCUCUGAACCAGACAUGCGCUGGUUCGAAUCCAGCCA
RNAcentral lists this transfer RNA (62 nucleotides) under human gut metagenome. It matches the Rfam family "tRNA", at positions 6 to 65 of the family's 71-position model. Rfam says of the family: Transfer RNA (tRNA) molecules are approximately 80 nucleotides in length. Their secondary structure includes four short double-helical elements and three loops (D, anti-codon, and T loops). The record is from RNAcentral.